This 462-nucleotide non-coding RNA is filed under the name Cellulomonas carbonis T26. RNAcentral describes it as "Cellulomonas sp. T26 Bacterial small subunit ribosomal RNA". It matches the Rfam family "Bacterial small subunit ribosomal RNA", at positions 1074 to 1533 of the family's 1533-position model. Lineage: Bacteria; Bacillati; Actinomycetota; Actinomycetes; Micrococcales; Cellulomonadaceae. The record is from Rfam by way of RNAcentral.
GUUGGGUUAAGUCCCGCAACGAGCGCAACCCUCGUCCUAUGUUGCCAGCACGUCAUGGUGGGGACUCAUAGGAGACUGCCGGGGUCAACUCGGAGGAAGGUGGGGAUGACGUCAAAUCAUCAUGCCCCUUAUGUCUUGGGCUUCACGCAUGCUACAAUGGCCGGUACAAAGGGCUGCGAUACCGCGAGGUGGAGCGAAUCCCAAAAAGCCGGUCUCAGUUCGGAUUGGGGUCUGCAACUCGACCCCAUGAAGUCGGAGUCGCUAGUAAUCGCAGAUCAGCAACGCUGCGGUGAAUACGUUCCCGGGCCUUGUACACACCGCCCGUCAAGUCACGAAAGUCGGUAACACCCGAAGCCGGUGGCCCAACCCUUGUGGAGGGAGCCGUCGAAGGUGGGACCAGCGAUUGGGACUAAGUCGUAACAAGGUAGCCGUACCGGAAGGUGCGGCUGGAUCACCUCCUUU